ACGUCAGGUAGGUAAAUCCGCCUGGCACAUAGUCUGAGACCUGAUGCCGAGCCGAUUGUGGUGAAGUGGAUGAUCCUAUGCUGUCGAGAAAAGCCUCUAGCGAGUUUCAUGGCGGCCCGUACCCUAAACCGACUCAGGUGGUCAGGUAGAGAAUACCGAGGCGUUCGGGUGAACUAUGGUUAAGGAACUCGGCAAAAUGCCCCCGUAACUUCGGGAGAAGGGGGGCCAUGUCUGGUGAUCCGAUUUACUCGGUGAGCUGGGUGUGGCCGCAGAGACCAGCGAGAAGCGACUGUUUACUAAAAACACAGGUCCGUGCGAAGCCGUAAGGCGAUGUAUACGGACUGACGCCUGCCCGGUGCUGGAACGUUAAGGGGACCGGUUAGUCACAUUUCGGUGUGGCGAAGCUGAGAACUUAAGCGCCAGUAAACGGCGGUGGUAACUAUAACCAUCCUAAGGUAGCGAAAUUCCUUGUCGGGUAAGUUCCGACCUGCACGAAUGGCGUAACGACUUCUCGACUGUCUCAACCAUAGGCCCGGUGAAAUUGCAUUACGAGUAAAGAUGCUCGUUUCGCGCAGCAGGACGGAAAGACCCCGGGACCUUUACUACAGUUUGAUAUUGGUGUUCGGUUCGGCUUGUGUAGGAUAGGUGGGAGACUGUGAAGCAUGCACGCCAGUGUGUGUGGAGUCGUCGUUGAAAUACCACUCUGGUCGUGCUGGAUGUCUAACCUGGGUCCGUGAUCCGGAUCAGGGACAGUGUCUGAUGGGUAGUUUAACUGGGGCGGUUGCCUCCUAAAGAGUAACGGAGGCGCCCAAAGGUUCCCUCAGCCUGGUUGGUAAUCAGGUGUUGAGUGUAAGUGCACAAGGGAGCUUGACUGUGAGACCGACGGGUCGAGCAGGGACGAAAGUCGGGACUAGUGAUCCGGCGGUGGCUUGUGGAAGCGCCGUCGCUCAACGGAUAAAAGGUACCCCGGGGAUAACAGGCUGAUCUUCCCCAAGAGUCCAUAUCGACGGGAUGGUUUGGCACCUCGAUGUCGGCUCGUCGCAUCCUGGGGCUGGAGUCGGUCCCAAGGGUUGGGCUGUUCGCCCAUUAAAGCGGUACGCGAGCUGGGUUUAGAACGUCGUGAGACAGUUCGGUCCCUAUCCGCUGUGCGCGUAGGAAUAUUGAGAAGGGCUGUCCCUAGUACGAGAGGACCGGGACGGACGAACCUCUGGUGUGCCAGUUGUUCUGCCAAGGGCAUGGCUGGUUGGCUACGUUCGGGAGGGAUAACCGCUGAAAGCAUCUAAGCGGGAAGCCUGCUUCGAGAUGAGUAUUCCCACCUCCUUGAGAGGGUAAGGCUCCCAGUAGACGACUGGGUUGAUAGGCCGGAUAUGGAAGCCCUGUAAGGGGUGGAGUUGACCGGUACUAAUAGGCCGAGGGCUUGUCCUCAGUUG
This 1430-nucleotide ribosomal RNA is filed under the name Streptomyces albidoflavus. Its description in RNAcentral is "partial 23S ribosomal RNA". It matches the Rfam family "Bacterial large subunit ribosomal RNA", at positions 1525 to 2925 of the family's 2925-position model. The record is from RNAcentral. Lineage: Bacteria; Bacillati; Actinomycetota; Actinomycetes; Kitasatosporales; Streptomycetaceae.